This is a long non-coding RNA of Canis lupus familiaris (dog), 682 nucleotides long. RefSeq lists it as uncharacterized. NCBI's taxonomy places the organism in Eukaryota, Metazoa, Chordata, Mammalia, Carnivora, Canidae. The transcript is spliced from 3 exons. The record is from RefSeq and is a predicted model, not a curated record.
AUCGCGCCCUGGGCCAAAGGCAGGCGCCAAACCGCUGCGCCACCCAGGGAUCCCCUCGGGAAGCGGACGGCUGGAGUAUGAAGAGUGCUGCUGAUUCCUGCCUCGUACUUUGCCUUCCCUCCCCUCUGGGGUUUGGGGAGACUCCUGUGGCCCAGCGCUGUCCUCGCAGUCGGUGUAGCUGCUCUGCGGUCUUGGCCCCCGGCGGCGGUAUAUGUAUGCCGCGCUGUGGAAUGGAGCCCUGAGCGUGCACAUGUAGACGUGUGAACUCAAACCCAGAGCUGAAAAGAAAACAGAACAAAGCUGCUAGUCAUCUCUUGAAUUCAUGCCCAGCAAGAGCUAAAGAAAAUGGGUAUGAAACACUUUUCUGGGUGGUAGGAAGUAUACAUGUAAUUAUCUCUGGGGAAGGAAUACGUAUAUUUCAGUUUUCUUGGGUAAACACUUAGAAGUGGAUUUAUUGGGUGGUAUGGUAGGUGUGUGUUUAACUUGAUAAGAAAGCACUAAACAGUCUUCCAAAGAGAUUGUAACAUUUUAUACUUGAACUUUAUUCAGCUAAGGAUAAUUUUUUAAAUAUUACUUAUUUAUGGGACACCUGGGUGGCUCAGCGGUUGCGUUGUCUGUCUUUGGCUUGGGACCAGGUCCCACAUCGGCUUCCUACAUGGACCCUGCUCCUCCCUCUGCUUGU